ACUUAAAUAGCUUAUGUUUUAGAGCAUAACAUUGAAGAUGUUAAUGAGGUUAUAUUUAAUCUUUAAGUA
RNAcentral lists this transfer RNA (69 nucleotides) under Mimosilpha disticha. RNAcentral describes it as "tRNA-Phe". The record is from RNAcentral. Lineage: Eukaryota; Metazoa; Arthropoda; Insecta; Blattodea; Blattidae.